RNAcentral lists this ribosomal RNA (530 nucleotides) under Arthrobacter sp. AT04-03. RNAcentral describes it as "bacterial SSU rRNA". It matches the Rfam family "Bacterial small subunit ribosomal RNA", at positions 378 to 917 of the family's 1533-position model. Lineage: Bacteria; Bacillati; Actinomycetota; Actinomycetes; Micrococcales; Micrococcaceae. The record is from RNAcentral.
GCAGCCUGAUGCAGCGACGCCGCGUGAGGGAUGACGGCCUUCGGGUUGUAAACCUCUUUCAGUAGGGAAGAAGCGAAAGUGACGGUACCUGCAGAAGAAGCGCCGGCUAACUACGUGCCAGCAGCCGCGGUAAUACGUAGGGCGCAAGCGUUAUCCGGAAUUAUUGGGCGUAAAGAGCUCGUAGGCGGUUUGUCGCGUCUGCCGUGAAAGUCCGGGGCUCAACUCCGGAUCUGCGGUGGGUACGGGCAGACUAGAGUGAUGUAGGGGAGACUGGAAUUCCUGGUGUAGCGGUGAAAUGCGCAGAUAUCAGGAGGAACACCGAUGGCGAAGGCAGGUCUCUGGGCAUUAACUGACGCUGAGGAGCGAAAGCAUGGGGAGCGAACAGGAUUAGAUACCCUGGUAGUCCAUGCCGUAAACGUUGGGCACUAGGUGUGGGGGACAUUCCACGUUUUCCGCGCCGUAGCUAACGCAUUAAGUGCCCCGCCUGGGGAGUACGGCCGCAAGGCUAAAACUCAAAGGAAAUUGACGGA